GUGUGUUUUUGAAAGAGCUGCACGUUUAGUUCGUGCCAUUGUUCCCAGCAGGAACUCCCACACCAGCUUCUUUUGAAAUCUGACCAUUAGAGAUUGUUUUGAUACAUUCUUGAGUGCAAACAUAAAAGCUGACAUAAAUUGUUUCAUCAAUACUAGUUUAUAAUUUUAGUCCAAAGAUGUCUGAGAUAUUUGCAUACAUGAAACAGCUCUGAACAGAAGGUAAUUGUGCAUCUUAUUCAAUGUAUGUACCUGGCAUACACUGUUUAGAACUGAUAUUUGGGGAAGGAAAAGUCAAAUGGGUAGGAUUCUGCCUGGAAGAUUUAUGUGAUUUUAAAUAACUGAUUGAAUUUUAACUUGGUUCAUUUGGACUGAGAAAAAAAUGGGAUAGAUGGGUUUAUACCAGUUUUAUUGUGAUGGAAAUAGACCUCGAUUCAGGUGUUAUUUUCUGUACUAAGCUGCUACCUUGACUUUUGUCUUUCCUGGCUUACAGCAAUGGAAAGAGAAUUGGUGCUAUAGUGUUUGUUCCAGUUGGUAACAUGGGCUUGUAGCCAAAAAUCAUUUUGCUGGUCAACCAAAGGAUUUGCCAAUAAAUUAUCAAAUGCCUAGUUCUUUUGACCCUGAAACUAGUCAUUCAGCUACUGUAGGAAGAGCUCUAGAGCAAUGAAAGAGCAAGGUGUCCUUUGAUUUUACUAUCCCAUACAGUUAGGGAAAAAAUUAACUAGUUUCCCCCUUCAGCAGAUCAUAGGAAAUAACAAGCUGGUAUCAAAGUAAAGCUCCCCAGUAGGGCUAAGGAUACAGUAACAAUGUAACAAUAAAGUGCACUAAGCAAAGCAUGUUAAAUAAAAGCAAGCUCCGCUUUGGCAGGAGUCCUUGAAGUAGUGAACACAGCUAAAUCAGCCUUGGCUAAAAGACCAAAUGGAGUCAGCAAUAUUUUGCAUAAAUAAUACUCCCCACUGUAGUUCCAUUUCCAGCCUUGGAGCUUUUAAAACUGUGUCUGUCCUUUAAGCGCCUUCCUGCUCACAAGAUGAAUUUCAUUGAGAAACACUAAGCUUUUAAAACAAAGGAAAAAAAAAAAAAGGCAAACUAAAAACAGUGCAUAAAAGCCUUUUAACCUGGUGAAAUUUCAGUUGCAUAUUAUGGGUUAAGUGGAGGGAAAUGAAGGAAAAAACCACACUAGCAUUCUCAAAUGGCAAUGUUGUACAUAUAAGGAAAAUAAGUCACAAUUAAGAGGCAAUCUGCACUGUAUUUCUACAAGUAGUCCCUUGUAUAACAUUAAGCAUAAGGGGCUGAAGCUCAGACUAGCAUCCUUAGAAUAAGCUAUUUGGAUAUGUUGAAUCUCAGUGCCACUUCAGUGUGCUUCAUUCAUUAAACAUAAACCAGAAAAAAAAGUAUAACUCCAUGUGUAUACAUGUAUGCUUUGGGCUAGUGUGUUAAUGACUGCAGAGCAGUAUUGAAAGAAGCAGGCAAAAAAUGUCUCACAAAAACAUACCAGCUGACAUACCAGGUAACGUGGCACCAACAUUUCAAAGCAGCUCCCUGGAAUUUUCCAUCACUUAGCUGUAGCCAUUGGUGUUGCAUGAGGAAAUUCCAGGUCACCAGGAUGAUGUUAGUGAUUUUGUUCUGUAACAGUUGUGCUCCUGGCAGAGAGUGAAGAGGUAAGGAUCAUUAGUGGGAAGGGAUGACUUUCUCAGGAAUGUGUGAAUCAGUCUUCAAGACUGGCAGGGUAUGGAGAGCAGCGCCACAAAUGUCUGAUUGUGCUUGGUGAGGUAGGAUGGGGAAGUGAUGCUCACAGAAGAGAUAUUUGAAAAAUUCUUUUCAUAAGCUGAAUUGAGUAGAAGCUUGACUGAGGAGGAAUAACAGCUGGAUUUGUGAGAGAGCAUGUUGGAAGUAAUGUGUCUUAUGUGUAGAGCUAAAUAACAGAUAAUAUUUUGUAUUUGGAAGCGUGUACAGUCGGCUUUUUAAAAUGGAGUAGAAAUGUCAAUGAAGUCAAAGCUGCUAUUCAGGCUGCAAUAGCUGUGAGAGUGACAUGGGUUCCCACAAGUGGGAAAACUGAAGAAGAAUUAGCAGGCCAGCCAGAAAUGAUUUAGGCAGCUGUCUCAUCCCUUACCCUGCAGGAAGUUGUGUGGGGAGUAUUGUUUCCCUUAUUUCCAACCAUUAAAAUCUCAGAAGGCAGCAAAAUUUCAGGGAAGAAGUGAUGACAGCUCAGGGAAUGGAGUUCAUAAUGGAACCAAUGAAGCAACCUUAUCUUCAGCACAUAUUUGUGCUCCCAUAAGAUAUAUCUGCUAUUUGAUUUCAUCUACAUUAUUGAAAAACAGUGUCUCUUAAAUUUAUUUUUAAAGUAGUUGCUGAAACAAACAAUACAUAUGUAAUUGCUGGGUCAUUGUCCUAGCCAGUUACCAACUGGCAAGUUUUGAAAUAGAGGCAGAAGGGAAAAUAAAAUUUCCACAAGCUAAUUGUAAAAAAUGGUGUCAGAUUGAAAAGGAGAGACGCAGAUUCGUCCCUGAAGAAAAGACAGUCUGAACUCUGACACCGUACGUCUGCUCUGUGGGAGCUGUUUGCUGGGAAGCGUGUUUGCCUGCAGACUGCUUUCAGCAGAGAUUACUUCGUACCUGCAGAGUCCCUACCUGGGGGCAGAGGAGGAGUGAAGGGGAAGGAGUGAGGGAGGAGUGGUGGUGUUGCUAAGGAGAGUGUGGGCCAGAGAAGAAAAGACACAAAUACACAGAGAGAACCAGGUUUAUGAGUUCUGCUGCUCAAAGAACAUCUGAUUUGUGUGAUAAUAUCCCAGAGUAAACCUCUGGUUUUUUUCUCCCAUGGAGUAGGUGAAAAUAGAGCAGACUCCUUUGGAUUUCACCAGAGACCAGCACAGUAUAACUGAUCUAACUCUGCAUGAGCCCCAAAGUUUUUCAGUUUAAUACUCAAUAGCCAAAAUGAUCAAAGCUAAGAGUCUUAAGUUAGCCUCAAUUUAAGCCUGAACUUCUGUUUUGGCAGAGAGUGAACUGACCUUUUGGGGUUGUGAACAUCCAAAUUCCACACAAGUCAGCAUAUUUGAAAUUUGGUUCUUAUUUGUAUUGAAACACAGCUUUGAUAAUCUAACUUGAUGGCAACAGGGUUUAAAAAUAUGCACUGUGUGCCCUUCCCUUCAGGCCUCAUGCUGGUAUUUCUCAUUUCCCAUAGCUGUACCCUGCCAUGGCACUGAAAAGUACAUUGACUCCUAUUUUAGCUUUUGCUGUGCAGCUGAAUAAGGGCUGAACCUGCCAAGGUACAGGGUGGAGAGCAUGGAGCUUCUGUUGGCCUUUGCACUGCAACAUUUGCCAGGUCCUGCCACAAAACCCCAGACUUGCCUUUGUGUUCCCGUCGAGUUGCAGGAGAAGCGUGGAAUUCUGUUUCAUCAAGAUGCAGUGUCUGGUACAGCCCCAGCUCCCCAGGCAAGCGUCUGCCUCUUUCAUCCCCCUUUGAUGUGUAUCCAGCAAGAGUUGCCGCUGCAACACAACCAUGCCGGCUUUGGUCCUCCAGCAGCGGGGAGGGAAGGUCUGAGAGGAGAAUUCUCUUCAGCAUCUGAUCUUGGCAGAAAAUCUAAAGAAGCUGCAGAGGUACUAUAACUAUGCUGAAGGCUUUGAUGGGAGUGACAGGCCACCAGAUGUUUCAACAGCCUGAUUUGCCAUCAGAAGUGCUCAGUCAGAUUCUCUGGGUCACUGGACAUUGGCAGUGCUGGGCUGGUGUGCUUGUUCCUGGAACGGGGCAUCGCUGGACAGUUUUGGUCUGCCUGUUGCCUUGUUGGUCACCUUUUGGCCUCUCUGUGCUUGAAGUAAGAACCUCAGGCUGGCUGAAUGAAAGUUUCCUUGUAAGAAUACUUCAGUGCUAACGACAAUAACAAUAAGGAAACCAGCAAUUCAGUACUGGAGGAUGCUGCUGAGGAAACAUUGACAUAAGGGCAGCUAUGAGUAAUGAAGAAUUUUCAAUCGGUCUCAUGUUCCACCUUCAACAAUGUAAGCUUCCUUGACCCGUAAGAUGGAGGUGAGGAUGUCAUCUAAGCUUACUGGCAACAACUGUCUCCACAGGAACAAGAGAUACCUAUGGAAACAACUGCAAUCACACAUCUCACAUCUGCAACAUCUUCUUUCCACUCACAGAUUCCCACAGGGUACAGCAGAAAGAGAAGACAGCAAGUUCUCUGUUCUCAAGAUUGUCAUAAUGGAACUGUCCAUGGGAUGACUAUACAUUAAAGAAACAAUGAGAACUAACAGGGAGAAAAGAUUUUACAUCUGCCUCUGGAACAUCUGAUUCUGGUUUGCGUGGAGAUGGAUUAUUGGAUGAGACGAACCACUACCCCGGUAUGUCCCUUCCUUUUUAGUAGCUUCUGCACAUUGCUGGUUGGUAUCGUUUGUGUAACUCAAAAGUAUUUGCUGCAAACAGCUACUUGGUUUAUACAUGUCUGGAGCGCUAUUACAUUUAUCCUGAAGUCACCUGUGGUAUUACAGUAAUUACUGUCCCUUUGGCAUAUAAUUAUUUUACAGUGUAUCAAUGUAAAAGUAUAUGAAUGUGUAUAUAUUGAUAUGAAUGUGUAUAUGACUGUGAAACAGUACCCUUUAGAAUACGACACGUGCUUUAAUUAAUUAUGUUGUGCACUAAAUGUUAACACACAGAAAAGUGGUAAUUGCAUGCAAUCUCCCAAAGUCUGAAGUAGGAAUAUGACUAUAGAUCAGAAGCUGAAAAUUCUACUCUAACAUUAAAAUUGCACUGUAUUUCUAUAGUUAGAUAUGUUUGUAUUUCAUUAAAUAAAAAGGCUUUCUUGUUUCUCAGACUUCAGAAAAGAAAUGAUUGUUGUGUUUGGUUUGGAAUGAAUGAAUAUAAUCUCAAAUCUUUUGUUUGCAUCUCUGUGCAAUGUGCCAUUUUCUCAAAUGAAAGCUCAGUGUAUUUGCAGAGUAGACGGCAGAAGUAUGUAUGAUUGCCUCACCAUUUCUUUGUACCAAGCCUAGAUGGAGGUGAAUUAGAACUCAUCAGCAGGAGGAGGUUUUGUUUUCUUCCCAAACAAACCGUCAAAGAAUCCCA
Long non-coding RNA from Columba livia (rock pigeon), 5049 nucleotides. RefSeq lists it as uncharacterized. NCBI's taxonomy places the organism in Eukaryota, Metazoa, Chordata, Aves, Columbiformes, Columbidae. The record is from RefSeq and is a predicted model, not a curated record. The transcript has 8 exons.